RNAcentral lists this unclassified non-coding RNA (2373 nucleotides) under Eurytemora carolleeae. RNAcentral's name for it is "kelch-like protein 12". The record is from RNAcentral. Lineage: Eukaryota; Metazoa; Arthropoda; Copepoda; Calanoida; Temoridae.
ACUUUCAGAAAGAUGUCUAGGAUUUAUUCAAUUCUUCAGUUUCAAUAUCUCGGAACAUAAAACACAAAGAUAGUGAUGGCUGAAAAUCGUCGUUCUUAUGCCUGGCCGGAGGCCGGGGUUCCCAGGCUACCUAGACCUCUUCUACCCCAGCAGGUGCCUGAAGUACAACUGCAGGUAGCUGAAGUAUCAACUAUAGAAGAGGAGAAUACUAGAGAAGAUAAUAGUAUAGAAGAACUAGAGUUUAGAGGAGAUACUCAUGCUGAUAUUAUACUUGACGGGCUUAACAAACUCAGGAAGGAGAAUACGUUUACUGAUGUAAGAAUAAAAGUAGAAGAACAAGAGUUUCCUGCUCAUAGAUGUGUUCUAUCCUCAUUCUCUCCAUAUUUCAGGGCAAUGUUUACUGCUGGUCUUGCAGAAUCUGACAUGGAGGUGGUUCCAUUACAAGGAGUAGAACCUGAUAUGAUUAGGAACCUGCUAGAGUUUGCGUAUACAGGUUCUAUCAGUAUAACUAAACAUAACGUCCAGAACCUUCUCUCAGCAGCAAACCUUCUCGAGGUUCUCGAGGUUAGAGAUGCUUGCUGCCAGUUCCUGGAUAGGAAUAUGGAUGAAACUAACUGUCUGGGUAUUCACUGUUUUGCUGAAGUACAUGCAUGUACAGAACUCAUGCAUAGAGCUAAAGCUUUCCUUCUUCAACAUUUUCAGGAUAUAGUAGAUGGUGACGAGUUCAACACUAUCUCGGAGUCAAAGUUAGUUGAGAUCAUCAGCAGCGACCAGCUCGUCGUCGACAAGGAGGAAACCGUCUUCUACGCCUGCCUGUCCUGGCUUCAGGCACAAGAACGUGUGCCUAAAUGUUUUUACAACAUUUUGGAGCAUGUGCGCUUGCCGCUACUUUCUCCGUACUUUAUCCACGAUGUUGUCGAGAGAACUGCUGCCGUUACGGAGAGCGCAGAAUGCCGCAGACUGGUGGACGAGGCCAAAACAUUCCAUCUUCUACCGGAUCGAAGAGAUUCAGGUGGAGAGAGAACUAGACCUAGGAUGAGUGCAGGAACUACUCAGGUAAUAGUGGCAGUUGGUGGUGAGGAUGAUAAGGUUGUGAUGAGAAGCGUAGAAUUCUGGGAUAUAGUGACCGGAGCUUGGAAAACUCUUGCCUGUCUUCCUUUCGCGGUCAGCAAACAUGGACUUGUGGUCAGCGGUCACGGGAAACUGUACAUGGCAGGUGGAGAAUAUCCUGAUGGAUCAGCAAGUAGAGCAAUGUGGAGAUAUGAUCCUGUCCUAAACGCUUGGCAUGAAAUGGCAGGGAUGAAUGUUUGUAGGUCUGAGCUUGGUUUGGUAAUGCUGGAUGGAUGUGUUUAUGCUGUUGGAGGUUGGGAGGGUAGAUCUAGGUUGGAUAGUGUAGAGAGAUAUGACCCAGAGACAAAUAGUUGGCAGUUUAUACCGCCGCUAAAAAUGGCGGUUACGAGCCCCGCCGUGGUGGCAUAUGAUGGCGCACUAUACGUUACCGGCGGGGCUAUUCUGGAAGACGGAGACGGGAUAGAACUUGUUCAAAGGUAUGAUAAUAAAACAGGUUAUUGGACUGAGAUGGCCAGCAUGCUGAUACCUCGGAGUGGGAGCGCGGCAUGCGUGCUCGGAGGAUAUAUUUACGUGGUUGGAGGCUGGCAUGCCAGUACAGAGAAUACAAACAAGGUUGAAAGAUAUGAUGUUGCUCGGAAUAAAUGGGAGUUUGUCGGAUGUAUGUGUGAGCGCAGAUAUCGGCCAGCGGCCGCGGCUGUAGGUGGGAGAAUGUACGUGCUGGGAGGGGAGGAGGGAUUAGACCGGCAUCAUGAUACUAUUGAGGUUUAUGAUCCUGACUCAGAUACCUGGAGUAUAUCCGGAUACUUGACUAGUAGCAGGAGCUGGUUAUCCGCUGCUACCCUAUCCAUCAGGAAGGAUAUGGGACGGGAACGAAUGCCGUGUUCCUGACACAGGUACAGAAUACUUUAACACCCCGGUCAACCCAGUUCAUAACUAACCUGGCGACUGGACGGGACCUGGAUAAACGAAGGAUAACAAAAUGAGAAGAUGGAAGGGAAAAACAAAAACUUCCAUCGAACCCUGUAAAAAUGAAGACAACGUCUGUUUGAAAGUUGUGAAGAAAAUUUAUGAAAUUUAUGUAUUUAAAAAUCAAAUAUUAAUUAUGUAUUAAGAAAAUUACAGCUUUAAAAGCGUAACUAUUUUUCCUAUUGAAUAAAAGUAUGUUUUGACAGGGCACUAAAUAUUAGGAAGUAAAAUAGCAUUAUUGUAUUUCUUGUAUAAUGUGUUAAAUGUUAACUCGUAUCUCAUAGUAUUUAUAGAUAUCUAAACCAAAGUACAUAUAUAAUAAAAAUUUGCAACAAA